ACCGGCAUCUCAAUAACGUCGUUAUUAUUAAAUUUAUGCAUUUCUAAUCAAUUUGGAGAUAUUUGCUAUCGAGUUGCAGAUUCUUUUACAAUGCAUUUGGUGAUUAUUUGCUUUAUUGUUCGGGCAAAAUUUACAACUUACGAUAAAAAAUAAAAUUAUUAUUUCAUUCAAAAAUUGAUGAGCUUUGUUUUUAGUGAUGACUUGAAAUGGCAAAUAUUUUUUUCUGACUGUAUUUGCUUGAAAAAAC
This is a long non-coding RNA of Octopus sinensis (East Asian common octopus), 247 nucleotides long. RefSeq lists it as uncharacterized. The record is from RefSeq and is a predicted model, not a curated record. The transcript is spliced from 3 exons. Lineage: Eukaryota; Metazoa; Mollusca; Cephalopoda; Octopoda; Octopodidae.